GGCAGGGUGGCCUAAUGGUAAGGCGUUGCUUUCCGGUGGCAAAGAUUGCGGGUUCGAGUCCCGUCCUUGUCG
Molecule: transfer RNA, 72 nt
Filed under: Cladosporium sphaerospermum UM 843
Lineage: Eukaryota; Fungi; Ascomycota; Dothideomycetes; Cladosporiales; Cladosporiaceae
Description: tRNA-Arg (CCG) (tRNA-Arg-CCG-1-1)
Rfam family: tRNA
About the family: Transfer RNA (tRNA) molecules are approximately 80 nucleotides in length. Their secondary structure includes four short double-helical elements and three loops (D, anti-codon, and T loops). Further hydrogen bonds mediate the characteristic L-shaped molecular structure. tRNAs have two regions of fundamental functional importance: the anti-codon, which is responsible for specific mRNA codon recognition, and the 3' end, to which the tRNAs corresponding amino acid is attached (by aminoacyl-tRNA synthetases). tRNAs cope with the degeneracy of the genetic code in two manners: having more than one tRNA (with a specific anti-codon) for a particular amino acid; and 'wobble' base-pairing, i.e. permitting non-standard base-pairing at the 3rd anti-codon position.
Source: RNAcentral